Molecule: transfer RNA, 63 nt
Filed under: Heterocephalus glaber (naked mole-rat)
Lineage: Eukaryota; Metazoa; Chordata; Mammalia; Rodentia; Bathyergidae
Rfam family: tRNA
About the family: Transfer RNA (tRNA) molecules are approximately 80 nucleotides in length. Their secondary structure includes four short double-helical elements and three loops (D, anti-codon, and T loops).
Source: Rfam by way of RNAcentral
GGGGAUUUAGUUCAGUGGAACAAUGCCUGCCUUGCAAGCAGAAGGUCCUGAGUUCAAUCCCUA